UACGUAGGGGCCUAGCGUUGUCCGGAUUUAUUGGGCGUAAAGAGCUCGUAGGCGGUUCGGUAAGUCAGGUGUGAAAUCUCCACGCUCAACGUGGAGGCGCCACCUGAAACUGCCGUGACUCGAGUCCGGUAGGGGAGUGUGGAAUUCCCGGUGUAGCGGUGAAAUGCGCAGAUAUCGGGAGGAACACCGGUGGCGAAGGCGGCCUUCUGGACAGUGACUGACGCUGAGACGCGAAAGCGUGGGGAGCAAACAGG
This 254-nucleotide ribosomal RNA is filed under the name uncultured bacterium. RNAcentral's name for it is "partial 16S ribosomal RNA". It matches the Rfam family "Bacterial small subunit ribosomal RNA", at positions 524 to 776 of the family's 1533-position model. The record is from RNAcentral.